GCAAAGGUAGCAUAGUCAUUAGUUCUUUAAUUGUGAUCUGGUAUGAAUGGCUUGACGAGGCAUGGGCUGUCUUAAUUUUGAAUUGUUUAUUGAAUUUGGUCUUUGAGUUAAAAUUCUUAGAUGUUUUUAUGGGACGAGAAGACCCUAUAGAGUUUAACAUUUGCUAUGGUCCUCUUUCUGUUUGUGAGGGUUCACUGGGCCAUUUAAUAUGUUUUGUUGGGGUGAUGGGAGGGAUUAAUUUAACCCCUCCUUUUUAUUAUUAUAUUUAUUUAUAUUUACUUGAUCCAUUUAUUUUGAUUGUAAGAUUAAAUUACCUUAGGGAUAACAGCGUUAUCUUCCUUGAGAGUUCUUAUCGGCAGGGGGGUUUGCG
This 370-nucleotide ribosomal RNA is filed under the name Reticulitermes flaviceps. RNAcentral's name for it is "partial 16S ribosomal RNA". It matches the Rfam family "Bacterial large subunit ribosomal RNA", at positions 1950 to 2522 of the family's 2925-position model. Lineage: Eukaryota; Metazoa; Arthropoda; Insecta; Blattodea; Rhinotermitidae. The record is from RNAcentral.